RNAcentral lists this long non-coding RNA (419 nucleotides) under Numida meleagris (helmeted guineafowl). Its description in RNAcentral is "lncRNA (ENSNMEG00000016243.1)". The record is from RNAcentral. Lineage: Eukaryota; Metazoa; Chordata; Aves; Galliformes; Numididae.
AGAAGACACAUAUGUUCCAAUACAUUUUAUUUUGAUUUCUUCAGAUUUCCAAGGUGGAGAACAUGUAAGAAUGUAUUGCUUUUCUGAAUGCUUCCAUUUCAGGGAAUGGUUCUUCAUGAUAGAGCACAGAGAAGAAACAUUGCUGCAAACGUGCGCUGAAAACCAUUUUUAACCAGACAGGAAACCACUUAAAGAUUGCACAGACUGCCAGCACACUGCCCUCUAAUUAUCCAGCUGAAGAUGUUGCCUGUGCCACAGAGAUCUUUGUAUGGAGGAGCUCUGAAGAUUUCUUGGGAGGCUGCUUAUGCAGCAGUCAUUAUGCAUGGCCUCCUUCAAGGGACAGGGUGGACCUGGCUGCUAUUACCUGGAGGGUACUCCAAGGCACUCUGCUCUGAAUUGCUUGACACCAUUUGUCCAAG